RNAcentral lists this ribosomal RNA (498 nucleotides) under uncultured bacterium. RNAcentral describes it as "partial 16S ribosomal RNA". It matches the Rfam family "Bacterial small subunit ribosomal RNA", at positions 29 to 523 of the family's 1533-position model. The record is from RNAcentral.
AUUGAACGCUGGCGGCAUGCCUUACACAUGCAAGUCGAACGGUAACGCGGGGCAACCUGGCGACGAGUGGCGAACGGGUGAGUAAUAUAUCGGAACGUGCCCAGUUGUGGGGGAUAACUGCUCGAAAGAGCAGCUAAUACCGCAUACGACCUGAGGGUGAAAGCGGGGGAUCGCAAGACCUCGCGCAAUUGGAGCGGCCGAUAUCAGAUUAGGUAGUUGGUGGGGUAAAGGCCUACCAAGCCGACGAUCUGUAGCUGGUCUGAGAGGACGACCAGCCACACUGGGACUGAGACACGGCCCAGACUCCUACGGGAGGCAGCAGUGGGGAAUUGUGGACAAUGGGGGCAACCCUGAUCCAGCCAUGCCGCGUGCGGGAAGAAGGCCUUCGGGUUGUAAACCGCUUUUGUCAGGGAAGAAAAGACUCCUACUAAUACUGGGGGUUCAUGACGGUACCUGAAGAAUAAGCACCGGCUAACUACGUGCCAGCCGCCGCAGUAA